ACUCAACACUAAUCAAUUAGAAUGAGCAAAUCAUCGUUACUAAAGCAAGUCCGCUUCGGUGGAAAGCUUGAACAGCGAGUUAGCUCAAAACUUGUAUUUCAGAGUUU
Molecule: small RNA, 107 nt
Filed under: Flavobacterium sp.
Lineage: Bacteria; Pseudomonadati; Bacteroidota; Flavobacteriia; Flavobacteriales; Flavobacteriaceae
Description: 6S RNA
Rfam family: 6S-Flavo RNA
Source: RNAcentral